CUAAAUUAAGAACAUUUUUGAGCUGAAGAGUUUUGAUUGUAUAUUUGCAUCAAUAGGAGUCUAAUGGUCAAUGAUUUAUUUGACAGGAUAGUGUGGGGAACAAAACACGGGCAAAUAAGUGAGUUUUAUAUCCUAUUGCUGUCUUAGACAAGAUAAUAAAUCUGCUAAACUGUUAAUUCGAUCAGCCGAGUUGUCCUGCAAAGAGCUGCAAUACCAGUUCAAGUGGAGAUACUGAAGUGGACUCAGAUGACACCAUAAUAUGACAACACAGUCCUACAACAAGACGAAGAGUUGAAGACGCCUCUCUUGCCAAAGUGGUUGCUGUCAUUGGUGAGGAUGCAUCAUCCGUUGAAGGUCACGUGAAUGUCCUGCAUAUCCAGUACAGCAAGGUGCGAGAGGAUAUACUAAAGAAGUACCCUUUCUUGAAGACAACCUCAGGGUUGUUUGACGAUGUUGACCGAAUGCAUCCAUCACCUGUCAGUUUAAGCCAGCGCUUCAAGGACGGCGUUUACCAGUAUUGUGCCAAAGGUGCUUGAGCUUGUUCAAAGAAAAGCUCCAUUAGCCAAAGUCUCCAAA
Oryzias latipes (Japanese medaka) is the source of this 576-nucleotide non-coding RNA. The record is from RefSeq and is a predicted model, not a curated record. Lineage: Eukaryota; Metazoa; Chordata; Actinopteri; Beloniformes; Adrianichthyidae.